AGUUCAGAUUGCAGGCUGCAACUCGCCUGCAUGAAGUUGGAAUUGCUAGUAAUCGCGAAUCAGAAUGUCGCGGUGAAUACGUUCCCGGGCCUUGUACACACCGCCCGUCACACCAUGAGAGUCGAUAACACCCGAAGCCUGUGAGCUAACCGCAAGGGGGCAGCAGUCGAAGGUGGGGUUGAUGAUUGGGGUGAAGUCGUAACAAGGUACC
This 211-nucleotide ribosomal RNA is filed under the name uncultured bacterium. RNAcentral describes it as "partial 16S ribosomal RNA". It matches the Rfam family "Bacterial small subunit ribosomal RNA", at positions 1290 to 1500 of the family's 1533-position model. The record is from RNAcentral.